AAUUGCUAGUAAUGGCAGGUCAGCAUACUGCCGUGAAUACGUUCCCGGGCCCUUGUACACACCGCCCGUCACACCAUGAGAGUUGGGGAUACCCGAAGCCUGUGAGCUAACAGUAAUGAAGCAGCAGUCGAAGGUAGAAUCAAUGAUUGGGGUGAAGUCGUAACAAGGUAGC
This 172-nucleotide ribosomal RNA is filed under the name uncultured bacterium. RNAcentral describes it as "partial 16S ribosomal RNA". It matches the Rfam family "Bacterial small subunit ribosomal RNA", at positions 1330 to 1500 of the family's 1533-position model. The record is from RNAcentral.